Molecule: transfer RNA, 72 nt
Filed under: Talaromyces pinophilus
Lineage: Eukaryota; Fungi; Ascomycota; Eurotiomycetes; Eurotiales; Trichocomaceae
Also listed under: 1 other name
Description: tRNA-Arg (TCT) (tRNA-Arg-TCT-2-1)
Rfam family: tRNA
About the family: Transfer RNA (tRNA) molecules are approximately 80 nucleotides in length. Their secondary structure includes four short double-helical elements and three loops (D, anti-codon, and T loops).
Source: RNAcentral
GCCCGGCUGACGCAAUGGUAGCGUUAUAGGUUUCUACCCUAUCGGUUGCGUGUUCGAGUCGCGCGUCGGGCU